UACGAAGGGGGCUAGCGUUGCUCGGAAUCACUGGGCGUAAAGGGUGCGUAGGCGGGUUUUUAAGUCAGGGGUGAAAUCCUGGAGCUCAACUCCAGAACUGACUUUGAUACUGAAGAUCUUGAGUCCGGGAGAGGUGAGUGGAACUGCGAGUGUAGAGGUGAAAUUCGUAGAUAUUCGCAAGAACACCAGUGGCGAAGGCGGCUCACUGGCCCGGUACUGACGCUGAGGCACGAAAGCGUGGGGAGCAAACAGG
This 253-nucleotide ribosomal RNA is filed under the name uncultured bacterium. RNAcentral's name for it is "partial 16S ribosomal RNA". It matches the Rfam family "Bacterial small subunit ribosomal RNA", at positions 524 to 776 of the family's 1533-position model. The record is from RNAcentral.